AAAGCUGAGGCCGAGAGGCGUAGGCGAUGGACAACGGGUUGAUAUUCCCGUACCGGUCUGAUUUGUUUGAGCAAUGGAGGGACGCAGGAGGCUAACGAUGCGCACUAUCGGAUGUGCGUCCAAGCAGCAAGUCUGUCGGCGAGUCAAAUGCUUGCCGGCUCAAGGACAAGCUGUGACGGGUAUGAACGAUUUAUCGUUCUAAGUGAGUGACGUCACACUGCCAAGAAAAGCUUCUAGUUAGAAUCAGACCGCCCGUACCGCAAACCGACACAGGUAGUCGGGUCGAGAAGACCAAGGUGAGCGAGAGAACUCUCGUUAAGGAACUCGGCAAAAUGACCCCGUAACUUCGGGAGAAGGGGUGCUGAUCGCAAGAUCAGCCGCAGUGAAUAGGCCCAGGCGACUGUUUAUCAAAAACACAGGUUUCUGCAAAAUCGUAAGAUGAAGUAUAGGGGCUGACGCCUGCCCGGUGCUGGAAGGUUAAGAGGAUGGGUUAGCGUAAGCGAAGCUCAGAAUUGAAGCCCCAGUAAACGGCGGCCGUAGCUAUAACGGUCCUAAGGUAGCGAAAUUCCUUGUCGGGUAAGUUCCGACCCGCACGAAAGGCGUAACGAUCUGGGCACUGUCUCAACGAGAGACUCGGUGAAAUUAUAAUACCCGUGAAGAUGCGGGUUACCCGCGACAGGACGGAAAGACCCCAUGGAGCUUUACUGUAGCUUGAUAUUGGGUGUUUGUACAACUUGUACAGGAUAGGUAGGAGCCGUAGAAGUCGGGACGCUAGUUUCGACGGAGGCAUCGGUGGGAUACUACCCUCGUUGUAUGAACACUCUAACCCACGCCGGCAAUCACGGCGGGAGACAGUGUCAGGUGGGCAGUUUGACUGGGGCGGUCGCCUCCUAAAAGGUAACGGAGGCGCCCAAAGGUUCCCUCAGAAUGGUUGGAAAUCAUUCGCAGAGUGUAAAGGCAUAAGGGAGCUUGACUGCGAGACCUACAAGUCGAGCAGGGACGAAAGUCGGGCUUAGUGAUCCGGUGGUUCCGCAUGGAAGGGCCAUCGCUCAACGGAUAAAAGCUACCCUGGGGAUAACAGGCUUAUCUCCCCCAAGAGUCCACAUCGACGGGGAGGUUUGGCACCUCGAUGUCGGCUCAUCGCAUCCUGGGGCUGUAGUCGGUCCCAAGGGUUGGGCUGUUCGCCCAUUAAAGCGGUACGCGAGCUGGGUUCAGAACGUCGUGAGACAGUUCGGUCCCUAUCCGUCGCGGGCGCAGGAAAUUUGAGAGGAUCUGUCCUUAGUACGAGAGGACCGGGAUGGACAUACCGCUGGUGUACCAGUUGUUCUGCCAAGGGCAUCGCUGGGUAGCUAUGUAUGGAUGAGAUAAACGCUGAAAGCAUCUAAGUGCGAAACUCACCUCGAGAUAAGAUUUCCCACUCCUUUAUGGAGUUAAGACCCCUGAGAGAUGAUCAGGUAGAUAGGAUGGAAGUGGAAGUGCGGCGACGCAUGGAGCGGACCAUUACUAAUCGGUCGAGGACUUAACCG
RNAcentral lists this ribosomal RNA (1526 nucleotides) under metagenome. RNAcentral describes it as "bacterial LSU rRNA". It matches the Rfam family "Bacterial large subunit ribosomal RNA", at positions 1392 to 2925 of the family's 2925-position model. The record is from RNAcentral.